Molecule: long non-coding RNA, 7009 nt
Organism: Zalophus californianus (California sea lion)
Lineage: Eukaryota; Metazoa; Chordata; Mammalia; Carnivora; Otariidae
Exons: 3
Source: RefSeq, a predicted model, not a curated record
UGUGAGCGGGUCACUUCGCAGAGAUUCUUGUGGCUCAAGUUCGCGGGCACCUGGGAGCAAAGCCGCGUUGGUGCAUCAAGAAAUCCGGUUCCUGCCCCACAUCCCGCAGGGAAGUCCGAUUUUUUAAAAAGCCCAACGACAUUAUGCAAUGUAAGAUCUAAAAUAGGACCGUGUUUAUAGUGAUGUCUGUGAACGAAAGGGAGAGCAAGUAAACUUUGCCCCGGGCGAGGGUUGCUCUCCGGAAUGUGAAGUCCUCCUUUCCGCUGAGCCCACUUCCUCGCUUGUACGAUGGAGAACGUGUGACACCCCCUCCUCCCCCCCCCCCCCCCCGCCCUCCGCCCUACUGAAUGAAAGCGGGCCUCCAGGACUCUGCCCGUCGCUCAGGAAGGCUGCGCCCAUCUCCGCCCACUUGCCAGGGAGGUCCCUCUUGCUGGGCGGUCAGAAAACCAGGCUGAAAUCCCCACCGUCUUGGCCUGGCGCGUCGCCUCACCCUGAGCCUCUUUGCUCAUAUUUGAAGAUCGGCCAGCAGAACCCGCCUCUGGGGUUGUCCUGAGGAGUACAAGAGGGGAAAGAUGUAGGGGCCCCGGGCACAGUAGGUUCUCAACAGUGAUUGUCGAAUGGAUGAAAGAAGAAAUUUAUCUGGACAGAUUUGGCUUAUCACCAUCACGGUGAUGACAUCAUGGCCAGAUGCGCCCCCGAGGUCACUCCUGCUGACCCCCUCUAGGGUGGCUGGCGCUAAGAGGGAAGAGUAGGCCCUGGGCGAAGGUUCUUGUGCCCGGGGUUCCCAUCACGAAACGCUCCUUCACCAGGCGUUUCUCUCAGCUGCUCUGUGACUUCGUGUGGCUGCCAGCCACGUGCAGGGCAGUGAACACACGCACACUCAUCAAAUUGCUAAGAACUUUUCAGUCCCGAUUCUGGAGUGAAACAAUGCAAGUUGCCUGGAAUUUUCUUUCCUUAGGAAUCAUUCCUGGUAUUAUGGUUGAGGCCUCUCUGCCUCUCCUUCGUUCUUUUUAACCUGCUUUUCUUUUUUGAGGACAUCAUGCACAGCUGAAUCAGGCACCUCAGGCCUCCGUGAGUCAGAAUGCCUCUGCCUGGUCUUCCUGCUCCCCCUUCAGGCUGUCCUGUCCAUCGUCACCCCGCUAAUCCCUUCGAGGACCCCUUGAGUGAGUCCCCUCCCGAGGCAGCUGCAUGGAGCUGAGACACUGAGCUACAUCUGAGGGGAGGCUUCUGGAGCCCCCAAUUGCCUCGAAGGGGGUAAUGGCCCCUCCCUCAUAGGCUGUUGUCCUCCGCACCACAUCCACUCUCCCUCUCGUUGCCACUCUGUGAUUUGGGUCAGCAUUUUGGAUUUUUCCGGUGAGAUGCUAAACUGUGUAUAAUGAAUUCUACCCCGCUUACUCCACAAUCCCCAGGGCCUUCUGUAUAUUCUUAAUGACUAAUGACAGCUGCCUGACCGUCCCUGGUUUUAAAGAGGUCAGAGAGCUUUGGAGCUAUAAGGGCCCUUGAGAAAUUCUAGUCUGACCCCUCCCUGAGCUGCUGUAGUGGCUAAAGCUGGCAUAUGUUGAGCACAUUAUGAAUACUGGCCUCAUCCUGAGCACCGUAAAGGCUUAAUUAAUUUACUUUUCAUGAUCGUAUGUGGUGUUCAUAAUAACCCCUGUGAGGCUUGUAUCAUCCCUGUUUGAUAGAUGGGGAAACUGAGGCCCAAAUGAGGAAAAGGCUGACACCCAGAGUCACAAAGCUAGUGAAUGGCGGAACUAGGGAUUGAACAAAAGGAGAUUGUCAAGCCCGUGGUGUUGACAGGAACCUGUCCUUCCUCUGCUGUCUCUCACACUUCCUUCCAUCCUAGAGAAUAAAUUUAUUGAGUUCCUUGCAGUAAUAGGUCAUGUCAAUUGAGCCUCAUAUGCCAGGCAUGUGCUAAACACUUCACAUCCUCUCUCUUGUUGGCUGCAACGACUCUGAGAAGUGGAAACUGUCAUUACUUCAGUUCAAGAGGCAAGAAUCUGAGGUUCAUGGCAGCCCAAGGUCCUGCGACAUGUCAGCUGGAGUCAGAACGGACCUCAGGUCCUGUUCUUGGGACUGAUGUCUUUUUCCAUUUCCCGGUGCAAUCUUCCCAGUUUCAUUAAUAAGCUUUCCUUGAGUGCCUGCCCUAGGCCAGGCCCCGGGCUGGUGUUCUGGGCUACGAAGUGAGGGUGACAAGAGUCCCAGGUGACUCUGUCAGACUGUGGUCCCGUGGGAGUGCUGGCCAGUGUUGCACGCCUGUUUUCUGGAGGAGGCCGGAAUCUGGAUUUUGUGUGAAAUCCUCUGACUCUCAAAUGAUCUGCGCCUGCUUGUGGUGUGUGGUAGCAUCUUUGGCCUUUACCCACUCGACGCCAGAAUCAUCUCCCUCGUUGUGACAACCCCAAAUGCCUGCAGAUAUUGCCAAAUGUCCCCGGGCGGCCAAAAUCAUCCAUGGAUGAGGACCGCUGAUGUGUGAACUCAGUUCUGUUUUGUCAUCCCUGCUCCUGUGGGUGCUGCACGGAUCAGCCGAGUUAACUCCCAGAAGGGGUCUAGAACAGCGCCUGACAAGGAGUAGGAUUCACUAAACACCAGCCCGUACUAACAGCGACCGGGAUGCUGAUGAAUCCCCCUUAGGGUGAUCUGUAAUGCAGCCUCGGCGGCGUCUGUCUGACAGUUUCCUACGAUGCACUGCGUCUCAUCUGCCUCCUGGUGUGCUGCCUUCUCAUGGUAAUGACCUUUGCUGUUCGUUUCUCCGUUGUUCACGUGGGCCUGGCUGUUUAUGCCUCCACUGAUGCGAUGCCUGGCGGUGGCCAUCUCGAUAAAGGGCAGAGGAAAUGUGACGGACUCACCUCCUGUGCGCCUGGAAUGCAAAGUGGAGCCUUGAGCUGUGUGGCCUCAGAAGUGCACGGAGGCUGCGAUGUCCUGAUUCCAUCAGCAGGGGGCAGCAGCAGCUGGGAAAAUGCCUGUUGCAGGAGGGAGCCAAGGGCGGCCUUCGCGGUUGCGUGUAUUUAAAGUGGAGCAAAUCAUCCCUCCAGAGCCACCCGCGGCCUCCUUUAACAGACCGCGAUAGCUCAUCCGCGGGAGCCAAGAGCUGCUUUUCUAGAACAUUCUACAUUUAGCAUCUCUGUCCACUUCCAGAUGGCUCACUCUGAACCCAGGCCAAAUUCUGCUAGGGGCAAAGUUAAGCGGGUUCCUGUUGCUCCCUGUGCCUUUGCCUCUCUGCUGACUCCACCCUGCCCUGUCCACUUGUCUGAGUGACACAGUGCCUUUUCUAGGGCAUCCCGGCAGCUGCACCGCACGCUCAGGCCCCGUCUUACUGUGUUCUCCAUCUCCCCCUCACACAAACAGCAUUCCAGAGUCUCAUUCUCUCACAGCUACCCUGCAUUCACUCUGGACCCCCUCUACCGCAUUUCCUCCGUAGCAGCCAGGGGCAUCUUUCCAGUUUUGAAUGGACAGUCUCUUCUCUAGGUUUAAACUGUAAAAGGUGGAAGAGAACGGUACAGAGAACGUUCCCUCCCAGCCAUGACCACAAGCCUGCAGUUCCCAGCCCCGGGGGCCACCACUCUUAACAGUUUCCUACACCUUUCAGAUAUUUUAUGUGCCUGGCAGCAAAUGCACAUGAACAUUCUUAUCCUUCCCGCCUCCUUCCCCCUAUGAAUAGAAGCUGUCACACACACUCUCCUGCACUUUGCUUUUUCUAACAAUAUACUUUGGAGAGGCUCCAUGUCAGCACCCAAAAUGCCCCUCAUCCCCCCCCCCCCUUUUUUUUAUGCUUGUGCAGAGAGUGGUCUUUCUAAAUCUUGUAUUUCCACUGCAACUCCCUCAAAGACUUCCUUCUGUUUUUCCCAAACAUCUGUUAGGCCUGGUGAGCUGGCCUUGGCCUAGCUCCCUUUCUGUGUCUAGGGCAGGCUGGCUUAAUCCAUCCUCGAACUGGAUCUGCCUCUCCGGCCCCAGGGCCUUUGCCUCUGCUGUCCCCUCCUAACCUAGUUUGCCACCACUGUGCUUUUCUCGGCUCAACCAUUACUUAUGCCCCGUGUCCUGUACAUCCCGUAGCAGUGGUGAUUGUUGUUUGUAGCACAGUGAUUCAUCAUAGGCUCUCGACCAGAGUCCUGGAGUUCAAAUCUUGGGCACUUUGUAGCUGUGGGACCUUGGGCAGCUUGCCACACCUCUGCCAAGUGCCAUGGGAGCAAUAAUAGAUCCUUCAUCCUGGGCUUUGGUGUUGAGGAUUCAGGGACUGGACGAGUAAGCACAGAGCAAGCCUCCAUGCCCGUGGUGAUUGGAGCGCAUCUUUUUCACCUACUGAGUGCUAACCCCUGAGGGCAGGGACUAGGCAUCACAUCCCAGUGCCUGGUAUAAAGCAGGUAUUCUAUAAAGAUGGCCCAAAUCUACUGGGCAUACUUACAGAUUAGAAGGAGCCUCGGUACGAGCCAACAGUAGUUGGCCCUUGUGCCAGGCUCCUUCUUAGAUUGUUUUACCCCAUCCUCACAACAACCUUGACAGGUAGGUAACAUCACUAUCCCCAUUUCCCAGGUGAGGAAACUGAAGCCCAGAGAGGUUAAGUAACUUGCCAGAGGUCACACAGGAGCAGAGCUAGGAGUCAAGUCCAGGAAGACUUCUAGGAAACAAUAAACAUUUCAAAAAUAGCGUCUGAACUCAGAGAUGGUUAUGUCUAUGAGUGGGAGUGGGCUGUGCUCUGGGGCAUCUUUCCCAUCCAUCUCUGCCCGUUUCAGUUCUGGGCUGGUUUUGAGACCCAACUCAAAUAACCCCUCCUUGCUCCAGCCAGGCAGUUCAUGUCCUGAUCUACCUCUGGACCCUCAGAGAGGGGAGGCAGCCAGCCCCUUCACCUGGGUUUGGGUCCCCUGCUGUCCUGGCCGGGUCCCGCUCUGUAGUUCUCCUCUGUCUGCCCACUUGCUCAUACAAGCACAAGGCUCCCAGCUUUUGAGACACAUUCCCCACACCUCCCUUCAGAGCUUGGCUUGCCCAUCCCUCUUUCGUUCCCUCACCUACCACUUCUGCCACAGUCUGCUGCAAACAGUCUCCCCCCAUGUCAGAAGUCACCCACGGAGCAGUGGUCCGCUCCAGUGCUCGGCUGCAGGAAUGGGGGACACUGCACUAUGUGCCAGGCCCGCGGUGAGCACACCAGGCUCACGAUAGCCUUGCUAGCUUCAGCCUAUAGAGGAGCAAACAGACCCAGAGAGGUUUAGCAACAUGCCUGGGAUCGUAUGCUUGAAGUAGCGGAGCGGGAUUCAAACCCAGGAGCCACAGCUGCGGCCAUCAGCUCCACUGUUUCCAAUGGGGCGUGUCUGCCAAGUUGGCAUGGCCAACCUCUUCUCUCUUGGCUUUCUUCUCUCUUCCUUGCUCGGUGAGGCCCCUCUUCCUGGUUCUUCUCCUGAGCCCCUUGACUGGUCUUUCUCCAGUGCAUUGGAGGCUACUCUGCUCCCUGCUCCUGAAAUGGUAGACCCCCAAGGGCUUCAUGCUGUGCCUGCCUGCCCUGCGGGCGCUCCCUGGUGCCUGCACCUGGUGCCUGUCUGGUGACUUACUGCCCACAACAGGCCGCCCGACACAGGGGACUUGGGGAUAAUAACACCCCUGCUUGCUCUCUCAAAGAGUUACUGUGAGGGUCAAAAUGUUGUCCAGGAUAUGCUUUGCAAACUGUCAAGUGCUGGGCAAAGGUCAGGGCUGUCACCAUUACUGUGAUGGGCUCCAUGCAGAGGUUGGUUCCUGGUCCCCUGUUCUGAGUGUUCUUGGAGUGUGUCAUCAGCACCUGAACGUAGCACGCCUGAGUUGGAACCUGGCAGCCUGCGGACAGGCUGUGAAAGUACCUGAUAGCCAUUCGGAGUGAGAAGCUGAGAGGCCUUUUCCAAAUGGAACCACGGAGAUGAAGAGACUGGCCAAGCAUGUCACCAGGCUGGGCCGCCUCAGGGCCGUCUCCCGAGACUCUGGCGGCUGUAGAUGGGUGUGAUUGCUUGCAUGGCAGGCAUCCUCCACCCUAGAAAAGGGGGCUGGUGAGACAGAGCAGCACAGAGCCCCUCGACUUACCACCACCGUGGGCUGCAUGGCCAAGGGUGCGAGCACCUGGCUCUCGCAGUUGCCGGAGGGGCAGGAGGACAGACGCUGAAGUCAGCAGAUGUGGUUUAAGAGGCCGACUCUGAACAGAAGGAUGUCUCUGGUCUACCGAUGCCACCCUCCAUAUCCCCGAAGAGAGUUCAGACAUCCUGCUUGCAGGGAAAGAUUCUUAAAAUCUCACAAACUUCAUCUUUGCCGGGGCGGGGUGGGGGGGUGAAGAAAACCAGUUUUGGGAUAUGCAAAGUGAGAAGUAGAUCCCGGGAUGUGUGCAGUGGUCCCUCAGAGCGCUGGCACCUCACCUGUCUGGUGGCUCUAUCGUGUCCUCCCAGACUUCAGCUGUCGGCGUCUAGUUUCCGGAGGGGGAGACUGAGGCUCAGUUCAACGAGUUGAGGGGCAUGUCUGGUACAACGUGACUAAUAAGAAGGGAGCGUGGGAUUAGAAUUCCCAUCUCUUUUCUCCAAAUCCCGCUCCUCUACCUGCUGGCUGGCUGGCUUUGGGAGAGCUAAUGAGCUUGGCUGAGCCUCUGUUUUCCUAUCUGUAAAAUGGGACGAAUGACCGACUUCAGAGGGCUUAAAUGUGCCUUGAAUGAGGCAAUGCAGAUAAAACACGUGAUAUAGGGGUGCCUGGGUGGCUCAGACGGUUAAGCUUCUGCCUUCGGCUCAGGUCAUGAUCCCAGCGUCCUGGGAUCGAGCCCCGCAUCGGGCUCCCUGCUCGGCGGGAAGCCUGCUUCUCCCUCUCCCACUCCCCCUGCUUGUGUUCCCUCUCUCUCUGUCUCUCUCUAUGUCAAAUAAAUAAAAUUAAAAAAAUAAAAAUAAAAAAUAAAACACAUGAUACAGCCACAGAGCAAACACUCAGCAUAUGCUGGUAGUUAUAGCUACUCGAGAGCACGCUGUUAUUGAAUGAAUGAAUGAAUGAAUGAAUGAAUGAAUGACUUAAAUGUACUCCUACC